Lates calcarifer (barramundi perch) is the source of this 696-nucleotide long non-coding RNA. RefSeq lists it as uncharacterized. The transcript is spliced from 3 exons. NCBI's taxonomy places the organism in Eukaryota, Metazoa, Chordata, Actinopteri, Centropomidae. The record is from RefSeq and is a predicted model, not a curated record.
AAAAAAUGUCAUGGUAAUGUAUGACAUCAAAAAUGGUCAAAAAAUGACCUGGUACAGUAAGGCGUGAAAAAUGGUCAAAAAAUGUCAUAGUUUUGUAAGGUGUCAAAAAUGGUCAAAAAAUGUCAUCCUAUUGUGUGGUGUCAGAAAUGGUCAAAAAAUGUUGCGGUACAAUAAGGUGUCAAAAAUGGUCAAAAAAUGUCAUAGUAAUGUUGGGCGUGAAAAAUGGUCAAAAAAUUUCAUGGUAAUGUAUGGCAUCAAAAAUGGUCAAAAAAUGUUGCGGUACAAUAAGGGGUCAAAAAUGGUCAAAAAAUGUCGUAGUACAAUAAGGUGACAGAAAUGGUCAAAAAAUGUCAUAGUUUUGUAAGGUGUCAAAAAUGGUCAAAAAUUGUCAUAGUUUUGUAAGGUGUCAAAAAUGGUCAAAAAAUGUUGCAGUACAAUAAGGUGUCAAAAAUGGUCAAAAAAUGUCGUAGUACAAUAAGGUGACAGAAAUGGUCAAAAAAUGUCAUAGUUUUGUAAGGUGUCAAAAAUGGUCAAAAAAUGUUGCGGUACAAUAAGGUGUCAAAAAUGGUCAAAAAAUGUCGUAGUACAAUAAGGUGACAGAAAUGGUCAAAAAAUGUCAUAGUUUUGUAAGGUGUCAAAAAUGGUCAAAAAAUUUCAUGGUAAUGUAUGGCAUCAAAAAUGGUCAAAAAAUGUUGC